GAUUAACGCUGGCGGCGUGCAUAAAACAUGCAAGUCGAGCGCGGUGCGACUUCGGUCGCAUCUAGCGGCGCACGGGUGAGUAACACGUGAGCAACCUACCUUGGAGUCCGGGAUAGCCCUGAGAAAUCAGGAUUAAUACCGGAUGAUGUCAUCACCAGGCAUCUGGAGAUGAGAAAAGGCGCAAGCCGUUCCAAGACGGGCCCGCGGCCUAUUAGCAGUUGGUGGGGUAACGGCCUACCAAGGCGGAGA
This 249-nucleotide ribosomal RNA is filed under the name uncultured bacterium. RNAcentral's name for it is "partial 16S ribosomal RNA". It matches the Rfam family "Bacterial small subunit ribosomal RNA", at positions 28 to 279 of the family's 1533-position model. The record is from RNAcentral.